This 3067-nucleotide long non-coding RNA is filed under the name Equus caballus (horse). RNAcentral's name for it is "lncRNA (ENSECAG00000044691.1)". The record is from RNAcentral. Lineage: Eukaryota; Metazoa; Chordata; Mammalia; Perissodactyla; Equidae.
GCCCGAUAGGACAGAGAGGGGGGCAGGUGCAAUGGUGAGCCUUAGGAUUUGUCACAGUGGGAAGCUGGCUGCUGAUUCUAAACCAAUGGAGAUGGUAAGGUCUCUUUGGAAAUAAAUUUAGCCCUUUGUUAAGUUCCCUUUUCCAGGCCUAAUUUAAAACCUUUUCUUAUUUCCUUUAUUAAACAUGUUAUGUAGGUACAUACAGAAAACUUGGAAAUACAGAGACGCAACAACAGAGACAGAGAGACAGAGAGAGGAAGAGAUUCCCUAUAAUCGCACGAUGCAAGGAUGCCUUCUGUCAACACUGUGUUGUGCUCCUUCUAGACUUUUUCUCCAGGUGAUGCCACCACAGCAUGGCCACCAAAGAGUGGUGUUGGUCCACGCCCGGGCCACCGAAGCAGAGCACACCGAACUUAACCAAUAGGCCAGAGGCCCCUGAACUUUAUUGUAGAAUAUUGGGAUUACAUUGUUUCAUGAACUCGCUUUUUAAAAAACUGAAAAUGCAACCUGAAUAUGUUUGUGCAUCAAGGCACACCUCUUCCUGGGUGAUGAGCAUUCUGUUGUGGGCUCUUCUAGAAGUCCCUUUAUGUUCCCCAUGUGACCAGACCCCACGACCGCCCUGCAGUUUGCCCAAGAAGCCUGAGCUGCCCUCAGUGAGGACGUACCUCUUCUCCUCCAGAGCAGUUCAACUGCUCGUCACCCCUGACAAGCAAAGUCUAUGCUCCUGACCUUCCGUGGUUUCUCAGCCUUCAGCUGUGCCCCUUCCAGAAGCACAGCCGCCCCUAGGACUCCCUCCCGUGUAUGUUCCAGUCACCCCAGAAGCCUGUGGAGCUCUCUUUUCAGGGGUGCAUGCUGUGAAAAUAAGCAGGCAUUGUGUUCCCGUUCUGCAUGUAGGUUAUAUUCUUCCACUGAAUAGCAGUUUCACACGGCAUGUUCCCUGCUCUGCCGCAUCGUCUGGACCCCUUCCCACUCAGCUAGCUGCCAGUCAGCUCUGGGGGACAGGGCCCUCUGGCACAGGUAUGGCAGGCUCAGACGCAGGUGGUGAGGGACACAGGGAUGCUCACUUUCAAUGCCACUCGGAAUGGCCAGGAGGGAAGUGACUCGUCUGAGGGUUGCUCGGUUGAACCCUUGCCAGCCAACUGCUGCCAGGGACAGAAAGUGUGCACAGAGGGCAGAGACUUGGGCCUGGCUCUCAGCAAUCCAGUAGCUAGAUGUGAGACCCAGGUGUUCUGUGCCAUUGAUGUGGCAGAUCAAAGAUGGCUAAAAAUACUCUGUCAUCCCUGCACUGAGAGACAACUAUCAGCUCCUGCUUGCAACCAGCCUCCAUGUUGUGAGGAAGCCCAAGCAGCCAUGUGGAGAGGCCCAUGUGGAGAAUCUAGGCUCCAAGUCAACAGUCUCAGCUGACCUCCCCGUCAACAGCCAGCAUCAACUUGCCAGCCAUGGAGGUCAAGCAUCUUGGAAGUCGAUCCUUCAGCCCGACUUGAGCUGUCCUAGCUGAUGCCACGUGGCGCAGAGACAAGCUGUCCACAGGAGCCCUGCCCGUACUGCUAAAUCAUGAUUGCUGUUGUUUUAAGCCACUAAGUUUGGGGCCAGUUUGUUAUGCAGCAACAGAUACCUGAAACAGAGCUAGUGCUGGAACAUGGGAACUCAAAGAUGGAGACAUGUGUCUUAGCCUACGUUCCUCUCAGAAGCAGACCUCACUCAAAGGUUUGCUUGCAGUGUGUGGUUUCUUUGGGAAGUGAUCUCAGAGAGCAGGAAUGAAGACCAAAGACAGGAAGUUAGAAAAGCCAAUUUGAGGUUUGUCCCUGUGUCGUCCACCACUCCUGGUGAUUGGUGCUUGAUCCCACUGGGGUCUUCUGAGGAGCCCCAUAGAGCGAGUCUCAGAACUCUCUGCAUGAGGGAUGAAAGGGAGAAGCAUUCAGGAAGGCGGGCUCCAAACUGCCAUUGACCAGGCUGCUUCAUGGGAUGUUAAACCCCCUGCACUUCUAGGAUGUAUAUGUGUGAAUGUCACACUGGUUCCUGACGGUGCUGCAUGCUGUGACGUCAGAGAAGUCCCCUCGCAGGAAGCAGAAGACAUCUGGCAUAUGCUGGAGAUGAGGUGUUGUCAGGAUGCGGUGGACAAAAUCUGCACAAGGACAGUUUUCUGUAGCCUUGGCUGGAGCCAGAGGUGAGGCCGUGAGAAUGGGAGGUGGCCCAUAAGAGGUAUCCAGGAUGACAUGGACCUUUGAGAAACUGGCCAUGUUGCCCCUUCUCAGCAUGUGGGCAGUGGCUAUUCCAUGAAGCUGUCAGGCUAUCUUGGUUGUGCUGAAGGCUGGAGUUAUUCUAGGCUUUGCAUCCCAACCACCAGCAAUCUCCUGGUUCAGAGUUUGAAAUUGAGUCUCUUCCCCAUGCCUAAGACAUCCACCUGGUAUUGUCCUCGGCACAGUAGCUACUGGCCCAAGUGAGUGCUUGUUGCAAAGAGUUUCGAGCAGCACUGCCCAACUUUCCCCAAUAGCUCUGUCCUUGUUAGAAAAGUUCCAAGGCCUUUGUCCACCUGUCUGGCCUAAAUCGUUCACAAAAACAUUAGAGGCAUUUGGAGUCUUCCAAAAGAAAACACCUCAGGCCAGCUUACAGGAGAGCCUCUGGGCAAUUUCAAGCUAUUCCUCUGUGGCAGGGGUCAUGGAGACGGCAUUUCCAGAUUCGGCUGGAAAUCUGAAACUCAUAGGAAGGACGACCUCCUGAGAAACUCUUCUGGGAUGAUGGGGCCUGGAGAACAUGGUCUUACUGUAUCAGGUUCAGCAAGCUAGGUCCCUGUUCUCGCUCUGGCCCAGGUGCCAUGGAACCUUGGCUGGAAGCCACGUUGCCACGUUCUUAGGAUGCUGGAGCAGGAAGGCGCCUCAGAAAGGAUACACGGGUUACCUACUCCUUACCUAAAAAAUGUCGGCACUGGGAAUGGCCUCUGCUUCCUCAGCCUUUUGAGUAGGUAUAAAAGAACUUUACAGAAAAUGUCAGAAAGCCCUUUGGGCUCUUUGGAGGACAUUUUACAAGUAUUACUGUGAAGAACUAUAAUAAUAAAACAUUAAUGGUG